RNAcentral lists this ribosomal RNA (253 nucleotides) under uncultured bacterium. RNAcentral describes it as "partial 16S ribosomal RNA". It matches the Rfam family "Bacterial small subunit ribosomal RNA", at positions 524 to 776 of the family's 1533-position model. The record is from RNAcentral.
UACGUAGGGGGCUAGCGUUGUCCGGAUUUAUUGGGCGUAAAGAGCGUGUAGGCGGCCUGUCGCGUCUGCUGUGAAAAUCCGGGGCUCAACCCCGGACUUGCAGUGGGUACGGGCAGACUAGAGUGUGGUAGGGGAGACUGGAAUUCCUGGUGUAGCGGUGAAAUGCGCAGAUAUCAGGAGGAACACCGAUGGCGAAGGCAGGUCUCUGGGCCACUACUGACGCUGAGAAGCGAAAGCAUGGGGAGCGAACAGG